GACGAACGCUGGCGGCGUGCUUAACACAUGCAAGUCGAACGGAAAGGCCCUGCUUUUGUGGGGUGCUCGAGUGGCGAACGGGUGAGUAACACGUGAGUAACCUGCCCUUGACUUUGGGAUAACUUCAGGAAACUGGGGCUAAUACCGGAUAGGAGCUCCUGCUGCAUGGUGGGGGUUGGAAAGUUUCGGCGGUUGGGGAUGGACUCGCGGCUUAUCAGCUUGUUGGUGGGGUAGUGGCUUACCAAGGCUUUGACGGGUAGCCGGCCUGAGAGGGUGACCGGCCACAUUGGGACUGAGGUACGGCCCCGACUCCUACGGGAGGCAGCAGUGGGGAAUAUUGCACAAUGUGUGGAAGCCUGAUGCAGCAACGCCGUGUGCGGGAUGACGGCCUUCGGGUUGUAAACCGCUUUCGCUCAUGACGAAGCUUUGUGUGACGGUAGUGGGUAAAGAAGCACCGGCUAACUACGUG
RNAcentral lists this ribosomal RNA (469 nucleotides) under uncultured bacterium. RNAcentral's name for it is "partial 16S ribosomal RNA". It matches the Rfam family "Bacterial small subunit ribosomal RNA", at positions 28 to 507 of the family's 1533-position model. The record is from RNAcentral.